GCGCGAAAACUUUACAAUGCUGGCAACAGCGAUAAGGGAACCUCGAGUGCCAGGUUACAAAUCUGGCUGUCGAGAUGCCUAAAAAGCAUUUCAUAGCAAGGGCCGGGCAAGACCGGUGCCAGCCGCCGCGGUAACACCGGCGGCUCGAGUGGUAACCGUUAUUAUUGGGUCUAAAGGGUCUGUAGCCGGCCGGAUAAGUCCCUUGAGAAAUCUGGCAGCUUAACUGUCAGGCUUUCAGGAGAUACUGUCUGGCUCGAGGCCGGGGGAGGUGAGAGGUACUUCAGGGGUAGGGGUGAAAUCUUGUAGUCCUUGAAGGACCACCAGUGGCGAAGGCGUCUCACCAGAACGGACCUGACGGCAAGGGACGAAAGCUAGGGGCACGAACCG
RNAcentral lists this ribosomal RNA (387 nucleotides) under uncultured bacterium. RNAcentral describes it as "bacterial SSU rRNA". It matches the Rfam family "Archaeal small subunit ribosomal RNA", at positions 339 to 726 of the family's 1478-position model. The record is from RNAcentral.